UACGAAGGGUGCGAGCGUUGUCCGGAUUUAUUGGGUUUAAAGGGUGCGUAGGUGGCUUUAUAAGUCAGUGGUGAAAUACGGUUGCUCAACAAUCGAGGUGCCAUUGAUACUGUAAAGCUUGAAAUAAUUGGAGGCUGCCGGAAUGGAUGGUGUAGCGGUGAAAUGCAUAGAUAUCAUCCAGAACACCGAUUGCGAAGGCAGGUGGCUACGAUUGGUUUGACACUGAGGCACGAAAGCAUGGGGAGCAAACAGGAUUAGAUACCCGAGUAGUCC
This 273-nucleotide ribosomal RNA is filed under the name uncultured bacterium. RNAcentral's name for it is "partial 16S ribosomal RNA". It matches the Rfam family "Bacterial small subunit ribosomal RNA", at positions 524 to 796 of the family's 1533-position model. The record is from RNAcentral.